UAGCUCUUCAUCCCUGGGAGGCAGCUGAUCGCCCAGCGUGCUGUGUCGCUGCUUUGUCCCAGACAAACCAGCACGUCAAGGGCCCAGCCCCUCCCCACCCCGGCAUUUCAGCGUCAAGUGCACUUAGCGGGGUGCCCAGCUCCCCCAGUUCCCACACCUGUCCUGUGUCUCAGGGUGGCCCUAGUUUGGGCAAGGCCUGGUUCCCUCAUGGUGCCUUGGGGAAUGGGGGCAGCAUAUUGGCUUGGGGGCAAGCACUAGACUCGACACAAAAGCGUUGGUGAGGGCCCUGGCACCACUAUCACCGCCCACCCCUUCCUACCAGCUGCUGCUAGCCCUCUGUGGUUGUGCACCCUUCCUGCCCCCAUUCAGGGGUUGACUAACACCCUUUAUCCAAUGGUGCUAACCCCGGCUCUCCCUGUUCUACCCUACCCACCUAAAGAAGCACAGGCCCCACGGAGCAGGGCCCACACCCUUAUCCUGGGCUGCCUUCUGGCUGGCUUCUCUCUGCCAGGGGCUCAAAAGGGGCACAAACGUGGGUCAAGAAAAGAGCAACAACGCGAAAUUGUUCUUCCUCUUCCCUUCCCUGAUGCCAGGGGCACCAGACUGAUUCUGAGGCACAAAUAAAAGAGGUUUCAAACC
This 639-nucleotide long non-coding RNA is filed under the name Rattus norvegicus (Norway rat). RNAcentral describes it as "long non-coding RNA NONRATT004574". The record is from RNAcentral. Lineage: Eukaryota; Metazoa; Chordata; Mammalia; Rodentia; Muridae.